AACGUAGCUCAAUGGUAGAGCCCCUGUCUUGUAAACAGGCCGUUGUAGGUUCAAUUCCUAUCGUUG
This 66-nucleotide transfer RNA is filed under the name uncultured Parolsenella sp. It matches the Rfam family "tRNA". From Rfam's summary of the family: Transfer RNA (tRNA) molecules are approximately 80 nucleotides in length. Their secondary structure includes four short double-helical elements and three loops (D, anti-codon, and T loops). The record is from RNAcentral. Lineage: Bacteria; Bacillati; Actinomycetota; Coriobacteriia; Coriobacteriales; Atopobiaceae.